RNAcentral lists this small nucleolar RNA (62 nucleotides) under Accipiter nisus (Eurasian sparrowhawk). RNAcentral describes it as "Small nucleolar RNA Z39 (ENSANIG00000016580.1)". It matches the Rfam family "Small nucleolar RNA Z39". Rfam says of the family: Z39 is a member of the C/D class of snoRNA which contain the C (UGAUGA) and D (CUGA) box motifs. Lineage: Eukaryota; Metazoa; Chordata; Aves; Accipitriformes; Accipitridae. The record is from Rfam by way of RNAcentral.
GCACGUGUGAUGUGAACAAAAGAGUAUGAGAAGCUGUGAUACUGUAAACGCUUUCUGAUGUG